RNAcentral lists this ribosomal RNA (274 nucleotides) under uncultured bacterium. RNAcentral's name for it is "partial 16S ribosomal RNA". It matches the Rfam family "Bacterial small subunit ribosomal RNA", at positions 523 to 796 of the family's 1533-position model. The record is from RNAcentral.
AUACGGAGGGUGCAAGCGUUGUUCGGAAUCACUGGGCGUAAAGGGCGCGCAGGCGGUUUGGUAAGUCAGAUGUGAAAGCCCACGGCUCAACCGUGGAAGUGCAUUUGAAACUGUCAGACUUGAGUACUAGAGGGGAAAGUGGAAUUCCCGGUGUAGAGGUGAAAUUCGUAGAUAUCGGGAGGAAUACCGGUGGCGAAGGCGACUUUCUGGCUAGAUACUGACGCUGAGGCGCGAAAGCGUGGGGAGCAAACAGGAUUAGAAACCCCUGUAGUCC